CGGCCGAAUUGGCAAGUCGGUUUCCAUUAUCAAAAGAAAUUUGACCCACAGGUGAACUACUUAGGAGGAAGUAAAGGUCCACGUCAGAACGGCCUACCUUACAACAUUCGGAAGAAAUAAAGGUCAACGCUCCAAUGAUAUGGGGAAUGUAAAGAAGAAAGUGUCUUAAUUUGUUAAGCUUUAGUAAGAAACAUAGCACAGACUCGAUUUUGU
Molecule: long non-coding RNA, 213 nt
Organism: Pocillopora damicornis (cauliflower coral)
Lineage: Eukaryota; Metazoa; Cnidaria; Anthozoa; Scleractinia; Pocilloporidae
Source: RefSeq, a predicted model, not a curated record